AUGGCGGAUGAGCAUCCAGUUCUUGUCCUUUUUUUUUUUGCAACUGGGCAUCCUGUUUUCAUUAAUUGCUUAACCGAAACACAAAGUUCGCCAGAGACUUGCAAGCAAGACAAGGAUGAGGGAAAUAGAGGGAAGCGAGUUGAUGCAUUACAAGGAAACCCGCCACGAGUGCCCAAUAUCGAAACACUCGUUACGGGACAAAAACCAGGCAACAGAAAGUACUAUAACAAAACGCCCAAUCGCGAAAAGUUAAAUCAGCAGCAGAUGACAUUAUCCAAGUCUUUUUUUGUGCGGGUGACAUUAUCCAAGUCUUGA
This 315-nucleotide ribosomal RNA is filed under the name Triticum aestivum (bread wheat). RNAcentral describes it as "partial small subunit ribosomal RNA". Lineage: Eukaryota; Viridiplantae; Streptophyta; Magnoliopsida; Poales; Poaceae. The record is from RNAcentral.